Alexandromys fortis (reed vole) is the source of this 1570-nucleotide long non-coding RNA. RefSeq lists it as uncharacterized. The record is from RefSeq and is a predicted model, not a curated record. Lineage: Eukaryota; Metazoa; Chordata; Mammalia; Rodentia; Cricetidae. The transcript is spliced from 5 exons.
CUCAGCUGCAAAGGCCAGCGAUGUGAGUUAGCUGCUGAGCAGAACGGACUGCACUGGGGCCAGAGCAUGUGCGGUCGCUUUCUCUACUUCCUGCUCCGAGAUGAUGUGCUUUUAUCAAAUGGAAAUGCUUUUGGACAACUAAGCCCCACGUCCUUUCCCAUCCCACAAAUAACAUCUAUAUAAGGCAGGCUCCAGGACAAAAAAUUUAGGGUGCACUGUAUAACAUGGGUUUAAUGAAGGGGCCAAUAGGAGUGUGGAGAAUUCCAGCACAACACGGUACCUGCACCAGGACAAUGAAGGUACAAGUAUAAAGUGAUAUAUGGAGAUGACCAAGUAUCAGAAGUGUGAAAUGCAGAGAUGGCCUAGAGUGCUAGAUCAAAGGACCCAUUGCAGAAGAUUCUAUCUACAGAGCCUUUGUGUAUUGGCAAAUACAGCUAUGAAGAAUGAGAAAGUUAAAUCAAGCAGCACCUGUCUUCCAUUUAUUGAAACCAAUCUUGCACAGUACCUUUAUUCAACAAUCAGGGAAGAAUAGAGCUAGGCUGGAAAACUAAAUUGAAUGCUGGGAGAAAGAAGGCUGAAUCAGAGAGAUAUCAUGUAUCUGCCAAAGAAGACAGAUGCUCACUGAAACCUUACAGAAGAUGAGAACCUGUGUAUUCCUUCCAAGCUAAUGUGGUUUGAUGGAACAAGUCCCCCUGAAAAGUCUCUGCAAACCCUCAAAAUACAUUGCCCAACAAAAAGCAAGAAGAAGUUUAGAGAUAACUACACUGAAAUUCCCAAAGAUUGUUUAUAAAUGUUUGUUUUCAUUUAAAUGAAGAUAUGAUAUAGAUAUGAACAUUUUGCAUUGGUAUGGAUCUUGGUCUAUUGAUACAAAUGUAAGGUCAAUUCUGUUAUAUGUAUUUCUACACUUGAAUAAGGUAUUGUGUUUUGAAGCUCAUCUAAAAAUGUAAUAUAUAGUUAAAAAUACAGAUUAAUAGAUAAUCACUCACAAUAGUCAAACUUGUAGUUAGGUUUUCUAAAUAUACAGAGACAAAUUUCAGUUAGAUAGAUAUUCUUCAAAUCUUUCAGAGACCUUCAGAAUAUAUCACUCAAAUGUUUUAAGAACUUAUAGGACUUUUCAUGACAAUGAGAUACAUCUGCUCCUGGUAGCAUCAAUCUACUUCAAGAGGAUGAUGGGCAUUGAAGAGGCUCAUUAUGAAGUUGGUUAGCCAUUUGGUAAGAAACUGUUCUUGCAUGCUCUGCUUGAUGGUAUGCUUAUGAACUGUACAUGUAGGAACCACAGAAAAAUGACCGUUGAUGUUGCCUCAAGAAGAUGAGACAGUCCUUCAGGGUUCCUGCUUCAUGAAAAAGUCUGCCAGACAUUCUGCAGGACACAGAAGUGCUGACAAACUGCCAAAAUAGGCAGAACUGUUUUUGAAAUUUACUCCUUCGUGGAAAAGUCUGCCAGACACUAUGUGCCUAUAGGCAGAAGAUGGAUACCCCAAUGCUACAGAAGAAUUUGAGUGACUGUUCAGGCAACAAGAUGUGUCUGUCAAUUCUAGAGUUUUGGAAGUUGCUAAAAAUGCACUUCCUA